Molecule: ribosomal RNA, 244 nt
Filed under: uncultured bacterium
Lineage: Bacteria
Description: partial 16S ribosomal RNA
Rfam family: Bacterial small subunit ribosomal RNA
Source: RNAcentral
UAACGCGUGAGGAACCUGCCUUUCAGAGGGGGACGAACAGCUGGAAACGGCUGCUAAUACCGCAUAACACAUAGGUGUCGCAUGGCAUUUAUGUCAAAGAUUUAUCGCUGAGAGAUGGCCUCGCGUCUGAUUAGCUAGUUGGUAGGGUAACGGCCUACCAAGGCGACGAUCAGUAGCCGGACUGAGAGGUUGGCCGGCCACAUUGGGACUGAGAUACGGCCCAGACUCCUACGGGAGGCAGCAG